ACACACAGAAUAAGAGCAAGAGAUGGCAGGCAAGAGAAGCAGGACACAUGUGGAGAAGGUCAAUUUAAAGCAGUGCAGGGAGCACAAGUGACACCAAGAGGUACCACUGCCAGCCCUGAAGGUGUACCCUGCUACAACUGGACAUUGGCUGGGAACCUUUUGAUGGCCAUGGAGAAAAUAAUUUUUUCCUGCCUUGAGAACCUAAAGAUGAUAAAGUGGAGGCUGACUGACUGCUGCAGCACGUGACUCAACAGUGGGCAGAAACUCAGAAGUGCCAAAGUAUGUUGGCCCAAAUAAGUGCAAGGACUACACAUCAGAUUGAGAAAAUGCAACAGUAACAAGUCCAGCAAGCAGAAGAGUAAAAUAUGUUAUUUACCAGGUUACUCAUGGAGCCCCAGGAACAAAAUCCUCUGAGGACAGGCCCAGACCUAUCAGCCAACACAACCAGCUCCCAACCUUAACGAAAGACCAAAGGCAUGGCAGUUGAGAACAUGACACCAGAGUGUGGCAGUGGCAGAGCUGAUCUUCACCUUGACAAUGCACGGGACAUGCCCUUGUAAGCUGAGUCCAGCUUUGGCACUGCACUUGUUGAAGAUCCAAUUCCAGUCCAGGAA
Alligator sinensis (Chinese alligator) is the source of this 614-nucleotide long non-coding RNA. RefSeq lists it as uncharacterized. The record is from RefSeq and is a predicted model, not a curated record. NCBI's taxonomy places the organism in Eukaryota, Metazoa, Chordata, Crocodylia, Alligatoridae. The transcript has 3 exons.